UUUUUCCCGACCGUUUCACCCAAUAGUUGGGGGUCUUACUUGGCGGCGGUGCUGGCUUUAUUGCUGGCGGCUACUGCUGGGCGAGCCCUAUCAAAAGGCGAGCGUUUGGACUUCGGUCUGAGCUAGUAGCUUUUUUAUUUUAAACCCUUUACUUAAUACUGAUUAUACUGUGGGGACGAAAGUCUCUGCUUUUAACUAGAUAGCAACUUUCAGCAGUGGAUGUCUAGGUCGCACAUCGAUGAAGAACGCUGCGAACUGCGAUACGUAAUGCGAAUUGCAGGAUUCAGUGAGUCAUCGAAAUUUUGAACGCAUAUUGCACUUCCGGGUUAGUCCUGGAAGUAUGCCUGUAUCAGUGUCCGUACAACAAACUUGGCUUUCUUCCUUCCGUGUAGUCGGUGGAGGAGAUGCCAGAUGUGAAGUGUCUUGCGGUUGGUUUUCGGACCGACUGCGAGUCCUUUUAAAUGUACUAAACUGUACUUCUCUUUGCUCCAAAAGUGGUGGCAUUGCUGGUUGUGGACGCUGCUAUUGUAGCGA
RNAcentral lists this ribosomal RNA (534 nucleotides) under Phytophthora infestans (potato late blight agent). Its description in RNAcentral is "eukaryotic LSU rRNA". The stretch from base 205 to 358 matches the Rfam family "5.8S ribosomal RNA". Lineage: Eukaryota; Oomycota; Peronosporomycetes; Peronosporales; Peronosporaceae. The record is from RNAcentral.